UACGAAGGGGGCUAGCGUUGCUCGGAAUGACUGGGCGUAAAGGGCGCGUAGGCGGCUGUGACAGUCAGAUGUGAAAUUCCUGGGCUCAACCUGGGGGCUGCAUUUGAUACGUGAUGGCUGGAGUGGGGAAGAGGGUCGUGGAAUUCCCAGUCUAGAGGUGAAAUGCGUAGAGAUCGGGAGGAAUACCAGAGGCGAAGGCGGCGAACUGGACAGCUGCUGACACUCAACUACGAAAGCGUGGGGAGCAAACAGG
Molecule: ribosomal RNA, 253 nt
Filed under: uncultured bacterium
Lineage: Bacteria
Description: partial 16S ribosomal RNA
Rfam family: Bacterial small subunit ribosomal RNA
Source: RNAcentral